AUUUUAUCUUUCAAAUAUACUUUCUAGGUCUUAGCAGAGGUACUGACUGGGAUGAAGGCACUGGAUGAAGACAGACACCUGAUUUACCUGAAAGAUAUGAUUGCCGACGAAAUUCAAACAGCAAAAGAAAGCUCAGACUCCAAAGGAAAAAAUUUGGAAAAACUGGCUGCCAAGGAAAUCUGCUGCAAAUACCUAGACAGAAAAGCAGGGCACUUGCUGGAAGAGGUGGCUGUUGAUUUUGCAUCAGCCAGCUGCCUUUGCCUGAGAAAGAAGAAUUCAAACAUAGCAGAGGUACGUGAAAUUAUGGAAAUGGCUGCAAACAAAUUAAAGGAGCAUUAUUACAUCUGCGGAAGCAGCACUUGUGGGUUCUCCAUGAACACUCCAGA
Molecule: non-coding RNA, 386 nt
Organism: Zonotrichia albicollis (white-throated sparrow)
Lineage: Eukaryota; Metazoa; Chordata; Aves; Passeriformes; Passerellidae
Source: RefSeq, a predicted model, not a curated record